Molecule: ribosomal RNA, 301 nt
Filed under: uncultured bacterium
Lineage: Bacteria
Description: partial 16S ribosomal RNA
Rfam family: Bacterial small subunit ribosomal RNA
Source: RNAcentral
CAGUAGCCACGGGAAUACAGAGGGUGCAAGCGUUACUCGGAAUCACUGGGCGUAAAGGACGCGUAGGCGGAUUAUCAAGUCUCUUGUGAAAUCUAACGGCUUAACCGUUAAACUGCUUGGGAAACUGAUAAUCUAGAGUAAGGGAGAGGCAGAUGGAAUUCUUGGUGUAGGGGUAUAAUCCGUAGAUAUCAAGAAGAAUACCUAUUGCGAAGGCGAUCUGCUGGAACUUAACUGACGCUAAUGCGUGAAAGCGUGGGGAGCAAACAGGAUUAGAUACCCCUGUAGUCCCUGUCUCUUAUAC